RNAcentral lists this ribosomal RNA (253 nucleotides) under uncultured bacterium. RNAcentral describes it as "partial 16S ribosomal RNA". It matches the Rfam family "Bacterial small subunit ribosomal RNA", at positions 524 to 776 of the family's 1533-position model. The record is from RNAcentral.
UACGUAGGGUGCAAGCGUUAAUCGGAAUUACUGGGCGUAAAGCGUGCGCAGGCGGCUUUGCAAGACAGAUGUGAAAUCCCCGGGCUUAACCUGGGAACUGCAUUUGUGACUGCAUGGCUCGAGUACGGUAGAGGGGGAUGGAAUUCCGCGUGUAGCAGUGAAAUGCGUAGAUAUGCGGAGGAACACCGAUGGCGAAGGCAAUCCCCUGGGCCUGCACUGACGCUCAUGCACGAAAGCGUGGGGAGCGAACAGG